Small nuclear RNA from Callithrix jacchus (white-tufted-ear marmoset), 106 nucleotides. The record is from Ensembl. NCBI's taxonomy places the organism in Eukaryota, Metazoa, Chordata, Mammalia, Primates, Cebidae.
GUGCUGGCUCUGGCAGUGUGUACACUAAAGUUGGAACUAUAUAGAGAAGAUUAGCAUGAUCCUGUGCAAGAAUGACAUGCAAAUUCCUGAAGAAUUUAAUAUUUUU